AGCACUGGGAACCCAGCAUGCUGUGAGUGGAACCAACACAAAUGAAGAGGCAUAGUCAUGGGGCAAGUGUAUAUUUAAAAUUCCUCCCCCUCAUUCUCUUCUUCAAAUGAAUCAGUCCCCACUUCUUCAUAAUCCUUCUCCAGGGCAGCCAGGUCCUCCCUGGCCUCAGAAAACUCUCCUUCUUCCAUACCCUCUCCAACAUACCAAUGUACAAAGGCCCGCUUGGCAUACAUGAGGUCGAACUUAUGGUCAAGGCGGGCCCAGGCCUCUGCGAUGGCCGUGGUGUUGCUCAGCAUGCAGACGGCUCGCUGGACUUUGGCCAGGUCCCCUCCUGGCACGACGGUAGGUGGCUGGUAGUUGAUGCCCACCUGGGGGACAGAGAAAGAAGACAGGCCACAGAAUGGCACGCGAGUCCGCCGAAGACAACAUCAGGGCAUCUGUUGUGGCAUCGUAGACCUGAGUCAAGUUGGGGACAAAUACCCCUGGGGAGAAUGUCAACACGUGAAGCUUAACACUAUGGAUUCUGCUGGCCAGCACCUUCCUGCAAAGCAACUGCCACUAACUCAUCUUUCCAUAGGGGACCUCGGAUCAAGCUUAAAAUAAAGGAGGGGGGCAUCCCCUCUGGUUCAUCACUCCACUUUCCCCACAUGUCUCUCAGUUUUUCUUCUUCCUUAUCAGCAUAUAUUGUUAUUGCAAUCAAAAAAAAAAAAAGUGCAGUGUUUAGACGACCUUGGCUGCUUUGUCCAGAAUGGCCAAACUGCCACAUAACCGUAGGUAGUGUCUAGGAAGAAAAAGACGAUGUGUGCCACAAGAAGAGUGGUGAGCUGGAAAACUGUAUCCGCUUGCUCUGCAAGAACAGCACAGCUGAUAGGAGGGGAGAAAGUCAGGACUUCAUGACUAACAGGACUCAGUCACAUAAAGACUAGAAAUUCCCUUCGUGUUACUCUAAGCAGAAUAAGACAUACAAAGGCAAAAAGUUAACUUUUGUCAUCUAUUGGGAAUAUGCAUCUUAGAAAGAACUAUGCCUCUCUAGCAAUUUGAAUCAUGGGGUUGGCUCUAAAGUUAAAAUGUACCUAGAAGUGUAAACUAUCCACUGAACUUUCUUUUCGGCAAAUUAAAAUGAAUUGCAAGUCCCCAAGGCAUUGAGAUUCAGGUCCCUCAGUU
RNAcentral lists this long non-coding RNA (1164 nucleotides) under Mus pahari (shrew mouse). RNAcentral describes it as "predicted gene 15856 (MGP_PahariEiJ_G0002998.1)". Lineage: Eukaryota; Metazoa; Chordata; Mammalia; Rodentia; Muridae. The record is from RNAcentral.